GGCAGCAUGGUACACACAUGUAGUCCCAUCCACUCUGGAGCCUGAGGCAGGAGAUUGCUUGAGUCCAGGAAUUCUGGGCUAUAGUGAGUUAUGAUGAUCAGGUGCCCGCACUAAGUUUAGUAAAAAUAUAGUGUACCCCUGGGAGCAUGGGACCACCAGGUUGCCGGGGGAGACAUGAACCAGCCCAGGUCAGAAGCAGAAAAGGUCAAAACUUCCAUGGUGAUCAUUGAUGGGAUUAAGCCUGGGAAUAGCCACUGCACUCCAGCCUGGCCAACACAGCUGAGACCCUGCCUCU
RNAcentral lists this signal recognition particle RNA (295 nucleotides) under Saimiri boliviensis boliviensis (Bolivian squirrel monkey). RNAcentral's name for it is "Metazoan signal recognition particle RNA (ENSSBOG00000001377.1)". It matches the Rfam family "Metazoan signal recognition particle RNA". From Rfam's summary of the family: The signal recognition particle (SRP) is a universally conserved ribonucleoprotein. The record is from RNAcentral. Lineage: Eukaryota; Metazoa; Chordata; Mammalia; Primates; Cebidae.